Molecule: non-coding RNA, 691 nt
Organism: Sus scrofa (pig)
Lineage: Eukaryota; Metazoa; Chordata; Mammalia; Artiodactyla; Suidae
Source: RefSeq, a predicted model, not a curated record
UGGUUUGUGAUGAUCAUUGUACAACUAUAAAUGUAAUAAAUUCAUUGAGUAAUAAAAAGAUAAAUAAAAUAAAAAAGAGUUAUGUGUAAAUUGGGAUGGGAGAAGAGAGGAUUAUUGGUAACCAAAACAGGCGAUUUUAAGAUCAAGUGUACUGUCAUUUCGAGGGAAGUGGCUGGGGCUCUCAAUAUGUCUUGAUAAUUGGCUCAUGCACAAGCCCAUGUGACUGUGACGCUUCCUAAGCGAGUGACCAACUCUGCUUUCUCUAGCCUGAGAGAACGCAGCAGAGCCUGGUUAGAGAAGAAUGAAGGAAGACAGAAAAGACACAGCAAGCCCACUUAGGAGGCUACUUCAGAAGCGAAGGUAAACCGUCUCAGCAAGCUGGUCACCAGGACGCAUUCCGCGGAGGUACUGUGCACACAGACUGGCUGCCAUCAGGGAGAAAAAGACAGCAAUGGAGGAGGUCCUCAAAAAACAGAGUAACAUUCCAAGCAAAGAAGAGAGAGUGGAAGGCAGAUGACAGGAUUUGGUCACCAAGAUGGAAAAGCUUGGCAUGUCAGGCUACAGCACGGAAUGUGUGUCCAGGCUUAGCCGAAAAGAUGGACAGGUGUUCCUGAGCCCAGCGACUCUUCUAACUGGCACACCUCUUGCAAAGAACUAGGAAACCACGCUAUGGAGCUGUGACAAUAGAUGA